This is a non-coding RNA of Pelobates cultripes (western spadefoot toad), 242 nucleotides long. The record is from the annotation of a GenBank genome assembly. NCBI's taxonomy places the organism in Eukaryota, Metazoa, Chordata, Amphibia, Anura, Pelobatidae.
UUUCAGAGAAACUGCUAUGUUUAUUAAUGGGUUAAGCCUUCCCCCAAAGCCUCUAGUGGCUGUCUCAUUGACAGCCACUAGAGGCGCUUGCGUGCUUCUCACUGUGAUUUUCACAGUGAGGGCACGCAAGCGUCCAUAGGAAAGCAUUGUAAAUGCUUUCCUAUGCGACCGGCUGAAUGCGCGCGCAGCUCUUGCCGCGCGUGCACAUUCAGCCCAGGAGGAGGAGAGAAGGAGGAGAGCUC